This 478-nucleotide ribosomal RNA is filed under the name uncultured bacterium. RNAcentral's name for it is "partial 16S ribosomal RNA". It matches the Rfam family "Bacterial small subunit ribosomal RNA", at positions 28 to 507 of the family's 1533-position model. The record is from RNAcentral.
GAUGAACGCUGGCGGCGUGCUUAACACAUGCAAGUCGAACGAGAAAUGUAGACGGAAACCUUCGGGCGGAAGCCUUCAUUUCGAGUGGCGGACGGGUGAGUAACGCGUGGGUAACCUGCCUCAUACAGGGGGAUAACAGUUGGAAACGACUGUUAAUACCGCAUAAGACCACAGCAUCGCAUGAUGCGGGGGUAAAAACUCCGGUGGUAUGAGAUGGACCCGCGUUCGAUUAGCCAGUUGGCGGGGUAACGGCCCACCAAAGCGACGAUCGAUAGCCGAUCUGAGAGGAUGACCGGCCACAUUGGGACUGAGACACGGCCCAAACUCCUACGGGAAGCAGCAGUGGGGAAUAUUGCACAAUGGGGGAAACCCUGAUGCAGCGACGCCGCGUGAGUGAAGAAGUACUUCGGUAUGUAAAGCUCUAUCAGCAGGGAAGAAAAUGACGGUACCUGAGGAAGAAGCCCCGGCUAACUACGUG